Molecule: long non-coding RNA, 852 nt
Organism: Diabrotica virgifera virgifera (western corn rootworm)
Lineage: Eukaryota; Metazoa; Arthropoda; Insecta; Coleoptera; Chrysomelidae
Exons: 2
Source: RefSeq, a predicted model, not a curated record
AUAUAGGCCGUUCCAAGAUGCUGUCAAAAUUAAAUCAAUAUGGCUACUGGAAGGCAAACAUUGAAUAUUAUUCUAUCAGGUUCUUAUGGUUUUAGAUCAUUUUAGUUGUUGUACAAAGAUUAAUUUAACAUUUUCUCUGGAAGUAUUAAUUUAGAAAGAUAAUAUGCCUCAUUGGUGUUGUGUUUUGAAGUGUGAAAUGCAAAGUAAUCGUGAUAAAGUUAGCUUUUACCACUUACCAUCAGUGCUACAUUCUAAGCACAAAACUGAACCAAUUUAACUAAAUAAGUUAUAGUUAUCAUCUGAGAGACAACAACAAUGGUAAAAUGCAAUAAAAUAUAAAGAUUUUACUAGCAAAAUGGAAAUUCCCCUGUAAUCAUCUUAUAUCUGGUAAGUUACAACAUUUGAACAUUAACGAUUUUUGAAGAUGUUAACAGUCUAAUCUUGUAGGAAAACCAGCCGACUUAACUGAUAAUAACAAUCCAGAUUGGGUUCCUUCAAUAAAUAUGGGGUAUAUAAACACAAUGAAAUGAGUUCCCCAAAAUCUAAAAUGGGAAUUAAGGUACCAAAGGAGAAUUAAAAGAAAAGGGUACCUACAAGAAAAAAUUGCUUUUUUAUUCCUCUUGAAAUGAUUUAUAAGACACUGGACUGUCUUAUAUUCUACAAAUACUAGAAUCAGCUGAGAGAAGUGGUCUACAAAAACCCAGGAAGGAAACGGAAUAUGUGGCUACGAAAGGCAAAAGAAAGGUUUACAAAGCAAAUGUGACACAUUUUUUUGAAAUAUUUAGGAAUAUCAGUAAAUUGCAUUAAAAAAAUGUAUGAAAAGAUUUUGUUCAAUAAAAAUGUUUAUAUUUA